RNAcentral lists this transfer RNA (73 nucleotides) under Minisyncoccota bacterium. RNAcentral's name for it is "tRNA-Arg". It matches the Rfam family "tRNA". From Rfam's summary of the family: Transfer RNA (tRNA) molecules are approximately 80 nucleotides in length. Their secondary structure includes four short double-helical elements and three loops (D, anti-codon, and T loops). The record is from RNAcentral. Lineage: Bacteria; Bacillati; Minisyncoccota.
GCCCUUGUGGUGAAAUUGGAUAUCACGAUUGGUUUCGGCCCAAUUAUUCUAGGUUCAAGUCCUGGCAAGGGCA